AUUGAACGCUGGCGGCAGGCCUAACACAUGCAAGUCGAGCGGAUGAAGGGAGCUUGCUCCUGGAUUCAGCGGCGGACGGGUGAGUAAUGCCUAGGAAUCUGCCUGGUAGUGGGGGAUAACGUCCGGAAACGGGCGCUAAUACCGCAUACGUCCUGAGGGAGAAAGUGGGGGAUCUUCGGACCUCACGCUAUCAGAUGAGCCUAGGUCGGAUUAGCUAGUUGGUGGGGUAAAGGCCUACCAAGGCGACGAUCCGUAACUGGUCUGAGAGGAUGAUCAGUCACACUGGAACUGAGACACGGUCCAGACUCCUACGGGAGGCAGCAGUGGGGAAUAUUGGACAAUGGGCGAAGGCCUGAUCCAGCCAUGCCGCGUGUGUGAAGAAGGUCUUCGGAUUGUAAAGCACUUUAAGUUGGGAGGAAGGGCAGUAAGUUAAUACCUUGCUGUUUUGACGGUACCAACAGAAUAAGCACCGGCUAACUUCGUG
Molecule: ribosomal RNA, 484 nt
Filed under: uncultured bacterium
Lineage: Bacteria
Description: partial 16S ribosomal RNA
Rfam family: Bacterial small subunit ribosomal RNA
Source: RNAcentral